Molecule: long non-coding RNA, 4509 nt
Organism: Xiphophorus couchianus (Monterrey platyfish)
Lineage: Eukaryota; Metazoa; Chordata; Actinopteri; Cyprinodontiformes; Poeciliidae
Exons: 3
Source: RefSeq, a predicted model, not a curated record
UCCAGUCUCUGCUUUUCACAGUACUGUGAAUAGUCUGCCGUAUUGUGGCUUGAAUUCAAUAAAGUCUCGACUGUCGGCUGUGUAGGAAUUCUGUCGAACUCUGACUUAAACAUCACAUUCACUUUGUCUCUUAAUGGACUGAAAGGUAAAUUAGGAAUGAAACAGGAAUGAGUGAAUGUAAACAGCACAGUUCACCCUGAGGGCCUGAGGGUCAUCUGAGCAGCGUUCUCAGCAGAUCAUGGAUGGACAUCAAGAAAACUAGCCUGACAGGAGCUGAGAGUAGUUUUAAAGGAGAUUCAUCGGAUUCAAAGGAGAUUCUAAAGACUCCUAACCCACGAGUAAAAGGAGUCAAAAGGUUAACUGGAAUAGAAAAGGAAAUGAAGUAACACUUCCUGCCUGAUCUUGAAACACCAUCAGGCUGUGGAUGUUUAGGCAGCCGGUUAUGACUAGAGAGAUCCAAAAGCCCUUUUGUGUUCAUUUUGUGUAGACUUUUUCAAAUUUAAAUCCAAAACCUCAUGUAAUCCUCAAUUAAUCCAUUUGCAACAUGGCACUGCAACAAGAAAAAAAAAAGCCACACCGAAACAUAAUCCGAGAGAGCAGACGAUGUUGUUUUUCUUUCUUUUCUUUUUAGUUUCACCUUCACUUGUGAGUCUAUGUAAAGAGUUCGUCUGGAGUUAAUUUAUGCCUGUGAUGGUUCAUUACAGUAAUUAAGAGGUCGGUGUAAAUAGUUCUGACAGGGUGGACCGAUGCACGGUGGGAGCCUGCGGCCCGGCUGUGUGGCCCGGACGCCUGGCGGACAGCGCUCUCUGCCCCUAGUUAUGUAACACCCUAAUUACAUCUUGGCUUCAGUUUGCCUUUCCUCUCCUCUUCCUCUGCUUCUAAUGUUUGUUUCUGGAUUUUUCUGUGGCUGUAUAAUCAGUGUCGGGCUCUGAGCCCUGCUGCGUUGACACGUCACGCUCUUUUGGACGGUCAGUUUGACUGAAUGGGAUGGAUAAAUCCUACUGUACAUAAAAGCUACUGGUGUAAACAGGAGGAAGGAGAGGAGAACUGAAUGGCUAAAUAAUGCAACGGGUAACUAUUUAUGUGAUUAGCAUCAUGCUGCAAACACUGUAUGUUGCUCCAGUCCGAUUCAUUUCCAAAGUCUUUGCAUUGCUCAUUUUUUGAUUGGUUUUAAUUUUGUGGAAUAUGAAUAAUUGAUGUUUUAUGUGUUGGGAAAAUGGUCCUUAAAAUGUAUCAAAUAUGAGACGACACAUUUGUCACCAGUAGCUGAACUCUAAUCAGAUCAUGGACUGUUUUGCACGCAGGUCAGAAGAUUAAUCCCCACAAUCAUAACACAUCUUAAUCACAUGUUUAUCUUCUUAGCUUUAAAUAUUGUUCAUGACAAUAGUGGAAAAUCAAGAACGAGCAUGUCUUCAAAGUCUGUGUGUCGCUUUUGAUGUGCCCCCUUUCCGAAUAGUGCAGGCGUAUCGGGAUCAAGGGUGAGGAAGUCGGCAUGUUUUGUCGCGUCAGGAUGGAGUUAUUGUUUUUAUAAUCAAGAUUCAACCGAUCGCCCGACAAUAAAAUUGCAGUGCUUUAUGUGUGACCCUAAAUGAUUUCAUUAGUCAAAUUAAUAAAAGAAAAAAACGUCAAGCCAACAAUUUCACCUUCAUUCUCAUGCAUCCAGCAUGCAGAGAUGAGUGAAUCGUCAUCAGGGCAGACAGGACAGUGCAGCCAGAAUGAGAUUCAACAAUAUUAUGUAGAGUUGAUGUUUGCUUGCUGCAUUCAGGUCGCUUCCUUCUCCCAGGUCUCUGGAGCAAUGCGGUAAAUACGUUAAGGCAACAGGGUGAUCACACUGAAAACUCACCACUUUCCAUGCGUGGAAAAACAGGCGGAACGUCAUGAGUGCGUACGGACGGUUUGAGCGUUCAACAAGAUUUAACACAAAUGGACACUGACUGAGCAAAUUAUCUACAGAGUUUAUAUACGGAAGAGGCACAAACACCUGACCAGGGUAGUUUCCUAGAACGCACACACAGAGGAAUAAAUUUAGAAACCUCAGUGUUUUCCCCAACAUUGCGUGCUGGCUCACACUUAUGGAAAGGUCCUUGACCUUUACAUACUUUACACUUACUUUCCAUAAGUGUAAAGGUCAAGGACAGGUCCCACAGCAAACAGACGUCACCCAGGAUGAGUUCCUGAACUGCAGUGUGUUUUCUAAAGACUGCAGAACUUUACAGAAGUUUUCUAUUCUUCCCAUGCUACUUUGACAAUCAGGAGCAAGCUUCAGAUAUGGACCCGCGCAGCUUUUCAGCAGGAUUUCGUUUUGCGUUAGCAGCAAAUCCAACAACACUUUCACGUGGCAGCUCACGGCACGCAGCUGUUUGACUCGAUUCCGCUGCAGAGGAGUGAAUUUAACGAAUGAAGGUACGAGGGCAGACGGUGCGACGUUUUCAAGAAUGAGGAUGCGACUACAGGGACCGAAAAGAAAAAAAAAAUUGACACCCUUUUAAAUUCAGCUGCUGUUGCCAUAGUGACUUUACCCGCGGUUAUGCAAGAACUCCACUUGUGGUGGCAAACUCCACUGUAGUGAUGCACAGGCUCACAUGUGAUACGGAAUAAUUCAAGAAAUGUGUUUGUAUUUAUUUAUAUAUUUUUUCUUUUAAAGGUGACGAAGCUUAUUAAAUGUACGGAGCGCAGGCCUGGAUGGAUGCAGCACACGCAGUGGUGACAGAAUGGGAUCACUGAGCUGGCUGAGAGCAGCCCACUGACCCCGAGGCUGUUAUGUAACACUACUUGCUCUCUCCCUCCCUCCACCACUCCUUCCCUGCAGCGUGGCGAGGGAAGAGCUUAUCUGCUACCUCUCCCUCCUCUCAUCCGUUGUUCUUUCAAAGCGCAGCCUGUAAACAUCAACUGGACACAGUUCUUUGCAAAGAACUCGCUUGUCUCGUUGCAACCACAACACAGACCUUGGUGUAUUUUCUUAAGAUUUCACACAAAAGUCUGUGCACGAUUUUGAAUUUUUUUCCCCUACAAAUGUAGGUGUGAAGAAUGUGCCGUGCGUUUAGAUUUCGAACCUUUUCUCAUUCUUACACCCCUGAAUAAAAUCCAUUGGCGUCAAAUGUCCAGAGGAGUCAAACUGGAUUAGAUCAAUUAGAUUUAAUGGUGGUAUAAACACACCCUGUUCUGAGCAGGCCUCGGAGCUUUUCUCAGAAAACUUUAUUGAGCGACCGGCGUUACGAGGGCAGUGUUCCUGUUUUAAUUUGCAACAAAAUGUGAAACACUUUUCCUUCCACUCCACAGUCACGCACUACUUCGCGCUUUAGCUGUAAUGUGACGAAACACGAGAGACUCCAAAGGGUGCAGUGAAGCCAUUUUUAUACCAAACCUGCACGCUUUCUUUUUCUUUUUCUUUUUUUUACAAUUGAAUACAGAUUUGAAACCUUGUGUCUUAAAUUAGGUCUCCUGUUUUAUAUAUAUAUGUAUUUUUUAAACCUUUCAUGUUUGUCGAAAAUAAAAUGUAUCAAAAGCGAUAUCUGAGCAAGGACAGCAUGCGCUCUCCCAUUGCUGCCCUGACCCGGACUCUUAAAGGUCACAGCGUCUGUCGCGUCACUCAUAAAGGGUUUGACCCACUUCAGCCGAAGGGAUUACCGUCUCAACAAACCAAACGUGUCUUACCGGUGAAGCACAUUGCUGUAUUAGAGUUAUCUGACUGGAGAGAUGUAAGACUAGGAAUACUUUGUAAUAUCUUCCUUAUUCACUCAUUCACACAUUACACACUCACUUCGGAGGCUUGACAUGCCAAAAUGCGUAGCAAAAAUGUAAUAAAAAAAGUUAAUAAUGCUGUUGUCUGACUUAUUGGAACACAUUGUAUAGAUGUACAAAAUUAAAGAUGAUUAUUUUAAUUAUUUUGUCUGGCUUAUCUCCAGGCAAAAUAUAAUUUCCAUUUUAAUACUGGAUAUGGAUUUCUAAACCAAAUAAACGGUUUAAUUUUUUGUAGGAGCCCCUGGAAAUGGAGGAAAGGCCACUUAUGAUGACCUGUUUAUGUAGAUCCCUACUAUAGAAGAUGUACAUCUAUAAACGUUUUAAUUUUAUAACUAUAACCCCAAGGACGUGUACUUUUACACAACAAAAAUGUUCAACAUGCUGGAGGUUGAGGUCAAUAUUCAAACCUAUUUCCUAUUUACUGCUGCACUUUCUCCUCACUGACCCUUUUGUUUUGUGUGAUUUCUUUUUAUUGAGUCCUUUGAUAACAGCAGAGCUUUGUGCUGAUGGAAGGAGGAUAGAGUAGGAAUAGAGUAGAGGACCUGCUGAUCUACUGGUUCUAGUAGAUUUUAUGAAUGCAUCACCGAGACAAGGCAACAGCAGCCUGUAAGCCAUCGGCUCCCUGGGAUCAGUCCUCAUGUCAUCGUCCAUGUAUGCUGAGUACGGAGGCCUUUUCCUGCCCCCUAUGGCCCACAAUGCAGAGAGCCGGGAGUUUGCCCAAAACUUUUCAGUGGAAGACUCUGAUGUGUUUGGGGUGACACAUCCCAA